Molecule: long non-coding RNA, 3669 nt
Organism: Papaver somniferum (opium poppy)
Lineage: Eukaryota; Viridiplantae; Streptophyta; Magnoliopsida; Ranunculales; Papaveraceae
Exons: 7
Source: RefSeq, a predicted model, not a curated record
UCCUGAUUUCUUGCUUCUAUGAUAAUAGAUCUGGGGUUAUCUGGGAUGAGAAUGCUUGUUCUCACUAGUGGAAGCUGGAUUUUUUAAGUCUGAUUGGGAUUUAGAAUUAAGACUUUCCAUGACUUUCUUUAUAUAUCAGUCGUUUUAGAGGAAGACUGUUUUAUGAGAAAAAGUAAAUCAAGCUUCCAUGGAAGACGUAAUUAUAUGGGGCAGUUUAGUAAAUGGACAGAGCUUCUAGAAGGUUUAUAUUAAGUCUGGCUAGGAAGCUAGUGUUUAUGGUCCCGGUUUCCCAGAUUUGGUUCCUUAUCUUCUUGGUCUCCCUCUUCUAUCACUUCUCUCUCAUCAAAAAUCUCGCAGCAUCUGAGUUUUUACUCGAAAUGAAAAUGCAAAUCCAAACCAAAACCUAAAUGUUAUUCUUUGCCUCAAUCUUGGUCUCUCAUCUUCUCUAUUAUUUUUUAUACUCAAAUUCAUCGUUGAAACCCUAACUAACUCGAAAUCAUGUUUUCCUCUAUGAAAAUUUGCAUCUGUCUACAUCGACGGAAGAUUUGAAUCCACCAACUCCAGAUGCAAUCUGAAAAUAUUGAUGGUAAUAAAAGAACAUGAUUAAAUGAAGACGUUUUCUGACCUUGUAGAUCUAAAUCAAGGCUUUUGGAUUUAAUUAUUAAGCUACUGAAAAAGAUGGUGAAGGAGGAGAAAUUAGUAGAAAUAUAAUCAAUGGGUUUCUUUUUGUUGUUAAUUUUGUUAUGCAAAUCCUAAUUUUUCUGUUAAAUUUUGUGUAGAUUGUAACAUUGUUCUGUGUUUUAUUAUCCGCUGUUUAGGGGUAUUUAUCUGGAAAGAGAAUCCUAGAAACAUCCAGUUUGGCUUGUGGUUGGAUGAACAACUUCAUGAGAAACAACUUCUAAGUGUUAAUUGGCCAUGUUAUCAUCUGUUAUGGUAUCCCGGAGUUGGUAAAAUUUGGAUCUUUUUGGCUGGAAGCAAAAGAAUCAUGCAUCCUUGAGUGAUGUAUUAUGCUGAAACGAAGUAUGUAUGGAGAUAUUGAGGUGGAGAAUUCACUGGAUUUUGUACAAUAAGAAUCUAAUGAAAAAUUUCAAAUUUACAACGACUAGUUUCUUAUUCUUUUUAUUUUCUAUCUAUUUAUGUGUUGAUAUGCAUCACGAUUAGCACAUCUGCUGGCUUAGGACAGAUUCUGACACGGAUCUUUUAUCAUAAAGUCAUUGGAGUUACGACCGUCUUUCUGUUCUUAGAAGGAAAUAUUGAACUUAACUUCCAACAGUUUCUACCAUCCUGGAGUUUAUUUAUCGCUUAUGACUGAAGAGUUUUGGAGGUAAAUUUAUCCAAAGUUAAGGAAAGAAGCCGUAGUUUAGUCUUGGAGUUGCUAAACUAAAGAUUAGGUUGGUAUCUUUGAAGAAACUAAGAUUCCCCAUCAAAGCAAUGAAUUUAUUCUUGAACUUCUCCGCGAUGUCCAUUUUAAUUUUGAAAGGUUCAUUAGUGACCUUAAGCUCACCAUUUUGGGUAAGGCUCAGCUUGGGUUGGCUAAUAGUUACAUCAGAGCUAUGGUGAAGUUCAGCGUCAACCGGGUUGAUAUCAUGGUUAUUCAAGUUAUCUCCAUCCUUGAUAUUCUUGUUAAAGAUGUCAACUCCAUGAGAAUCAGGUUUAGUCAAUUUUAAAUGGGGAUACAAGCUCUUAUAUUUCUUAGUGAAAAUCAUAUGUUGGUUCUUUAUAAAUUGAUCGGCUCGAAGAUUGUUUGUUUUCUCCUUUCUUCAGAGAGUGGUACUCAUAGCACUUACCUGAACUAUUGUUACUUUCUGUCAGUUGUAUCAACACUAUUGUUAGACCCCUUUAUCUUCUGAACUGCUUAUACUCGUGGCAUUUCCAUGGCAACUUUUUAACUUGCCAUGGUGGGUAUUCGUCUACCCAUAAAUAUAUUCUACUUUGAGUUGGGAUUCUAUGUCUGUUUAUACUACAUUUACUUGUUUGUUCAAUAGUUAAUAUAUGAUAUUGCGUAUUGUUUGGAUUUUUUUCCCCUGUUCUAGAUUUCAAUUUCAAGCCUGUCAGGAUUACGAUAUCUUAGGCACCUGCAUCUGGAAAAGGAGCACAGUGCGAACUGUUGGUACUUGUGGAACUUCCCUGAAGUGACCGCGAAUUUUGAUAUCGAAUGAAGAGGAAUCUGUAGUAUCAACUGUUCAACCUGCUAUGGAUGUUGAUUCGCCCUAUCCAAGAUUUCAAGUUCAAACAUGUUAGUAUUAUGAUAUCUUGCGCACCUGCAUCCGGAGAAGGAGCACAACGCGAGAACUCAGAAAGUAUACAUGUAAUGGUUAUGGAGUGAGACGACAACUUGAAUGUUGAGUGACAUCUUUCAUACAAACAGGGGCUGAGCAUCGGACGGAUGGACAUAAUUAGAGCUAAUUUCUAAGUAAAUGAAGUCAUGGAUGGUGAAGUAUUGCCUUCUUAGUGUUGAAGCUAUCUGGUUGUCAAUCUUGUAUUAGGAAUAUAAAGUUAAGCAUUUGAAGUUUUGAGAUUUGGAAAAGUAUUCUAAAUAGUCAAAGUUAUAAACUGUUAGCAAUUUUUAAUAAAAUUCAGUUUUAAAGUCACUAUUAAUUUAGCAAUUUAGUUUUUUUGAUCAAUAAAGUUUUGAGUUGAUAUUAUUUUAAUUGUGAUUCAGCUGAAUCAGCUUUGGAUUCAGCUAAAUCAAUUUAACUUCUGUUUAUAAAAUAAGUUCAACAAAAACGUCUGUUUUUGUCAGUGUUUGCAAUGUACUGUUCGAAAAAGACGUUUUUUGGAAAAUUUACUCCUCCCCGAAGCAGUCUUUUGAGAUAUCAGACUACAAUAUUAGGGCUCGCGGAAACAGUCACUUUUAGCGAUUAUAAGUGUGUUUCUGGCAGACUAUUUUUUAUAUUUUCCACUUGUCUGUUUAUUUUAGAUGCUUCCAUGGGUGUUGAUGUAACCUUUUCUGGUGAUUUGGCUUAAUGUUGUGUCUUAUUGUGGCUAAAAUGUAUCCGAUCUGCCUGUUUCUCUUCUGAUUUCUUUUGAGUUUCUGAUGAUUAAUCUGUUCUUCUCUUGAUGUCUAACUUCUUGCAGUUAUCUCAUUGAAUUUCCUCUUCUUUCCUCUCUCUUCUAAUGUCUAUUUCUUUUCAGGGUCUCUUUCAUGAUUAUCAAUGUAUCUCUGUGGUUAAUUCCAAAUUCUGUUUUUUCUCUUUUCUGGUGGCUUUCAUCUAUUGGUUCAAUGAGCUUGAGAAGCUUGGUAUGUGUUAGUUGUUAGAUCGAAGAUUUACAGUACUACUCUUUUCUUCUAGUUUCAUUGGUUUUCUUAUUUAAUCUUUUCCUUCCUAGUGUUCUUGGCAUGGUUGAUUGACCGGUUUCUCUUUAGUCUGAUUGGUUUCUUCUUGCCUAGAUUAGGUUCCUCACUCUUUUUUUAUAGGUCUGUUUUUGUUCAAAACCCUUUUAAGGAAUAUUUUUGUAACUUUCCUUUUGCUCUUGUUUUUGGCUUUCAAAAAUAUUAUCCUGUUUCUAUUGGUUCGGCUGAUGUGAAUCUUUUGUUCCUCCUAUGUUUCUGUUCUUUCCCCUUUAUUCUUCUAUUUUGUUUGUUAUGACGUCUUGAUUCCGUUUAAUUUCAAAAUUGCUCUCCUGUUGUUUUGUUCUAUUUAGUUGUUAUCUUCAAAAAUCCUUUAU